GCCCAGAGUCCAAACCCUCGCCUGCCUCCUCUCGGCUUUAUUUUUCUGGGCUGUAGAUUUCACUUCCUUUUAGCCUCAUUGUUUUCCUCCGCAAAGUGGGGACAGGAUCGUCCCCCCUCGCAAGGCUGAUGCGAAGAUACAAGAUAAUGCGUGCACACGUGUUGUGGACCGGGCCUAGCACACUUUAUGUGCUCCAUAAUCAUUCCCCUCCCACCCUCUUCUCGGCCUCAUUCUGCCACCAAGUCCCUCUGGGACUUUGGGCCAGUCCUCUGUUCAAUUCAGUGAACAUUUUCAGAGCCUCUGAAUGUUCCAUGGUUGUGGCUGCAUGUGAGUCAGGCUGGCCACAUCCAAGUCAGCAGUGAAUCACCUGAGACGGGAGGUGGGGCGAGGCCCCAUGGCGUUGUCCCGUGGGAAGGUCAGAGACAGCAGACAGAAGCAGGGACGACAGACACAGUCCGGAGGGCUGUAAGCUAGGGGUGGUGGGAUCAGGUUUCUGAAACUUCCUCCACUGCCGUGUGGAUGCAAGGCAGAAGCUGGCCCAGGAGGGUCACUUAGAAGGCCACCUCUUAAAACAGAGAUGAGCAAAGACAACGGCUGACCUGGGGCAGGGGAAUUAGGGGUGGGGGAAGGGGAGAGGAGAUGCUGCCUGGGCUGGGGGCUGUCUUUCAUGAGGCAGCCAGAGGAGCCAAGGAUGGCCUCUGAAUGGGAGGCUGGGGCUGAGUCCAGCCAUCCCAGGACCUCCGGUGUGUGACUCCUGGACAUACCAGUCUUUGCCAUCCUAGCCCAGGCUGUCCCCACAUCCAAAGCUCCCCCUGUGGUCCCACCCCUGCUGCCCUUCAGAGCUGCGACCAUGGCCCUCAGGCCUGUCCACCGCCCUCGGCAACAUCAUGGCUAACCUGGGCUCCACACAUUUCUUCCAUCAGCAGACAGUGCCCCUCCGGGGGAAGCUCUGAGACCCAGCACCUAUCGGGAAAAACUCAAAGGUCCAGGCGCUGAAUCUAAGCCAGAUUUAAAUAGAUUUUACUGCGACAGGGGAGACCCCACCAAGCAGGGCCAAUAUAUGUGGUCCCAGGAGGUCAAGAAAUGGUGACUUUCCGUAUCCACUCCCGUCUUUCACUGCACGAAGCCCUCGGAAGAUUAUUCUAUAGCAGUACGAUGACAGCAUCCUCCUUCUAGGAACUACAUCGUCUUCCGUCUCUGGAUGUGCCAUCUUUUACUCAGCUAGUCUACAUCUCAGGUGUUCCCCAUCUUCUGCACACAAGUAUUUGCACAUGCGUGUGAGUGUGUGCUGCGAGCACAUUCUUACCAGUGGUAUCACUGGGUCUUGGGAGGUGUGUUUUUGUUUUUGCAUGUGACAAACACAAGCAAAUUGUCUUCCAUGGGGGUGGCCUCGAUUAUCCGUCCCCAGCAUGGCCCGGGAGUGCCUGUAUGCCCAUGAUCUCACUAAUAGGAUAGCAUCAGCUCUUUCAUUUUUCUUUACUUUCUUUUUGAGACAGAGUCUUGCUCUGUCACCCAGACUGGAUGCAGUGGCAUGAUCUCAGCUCACCUGCAGCCUCCGCCUCCUGGGUUCCAGCGAUUCUUCAGCCUUACCCUUCCAAGUAGCUGGGACUAGAGGCAAGCACCACCACGCCGGGCUAAUUUUUGUAUUUUCAGUAGAGAUGGGCUUUUGCAAUGUUGGCCAGCCUUGUCUGGAGCUCCUGACCUCAGGUGUUCUGUCUGCCUCAGCCUCCCAAAGUACUGGGAUUACAGGCAUGAGCCAUCACACCUGGCCUUUUACUUUUCACUGAAGGGAAAUAUACAUACAAAAAAGUGCGCCUGUCAUCAGAGCCCAGCUCGCUGGAUUUUCACAGCAUCCACGCCUCCAUGAAACCAGCACUUGGAUCAAGACGGGAAGGUCCCCAGUCCCUGAAGCCUGCUUGUCACUCCCCUCCCAACAUAAACUUGAUCUAUUGUCAGUCUUUUUUGUUCACUAAAAUCCCCCUUCCCUUUCCAAAUUCCCCUGUCUGCAUAGACCAUGUCAGUGCCGCCCAAACCAUAUGCCAGGAAACUGAAAAACUAAAAUGUUUUGAUUUUUUUAAAGGAAAAAUAAAUCAGUAAGGACAAGGGUCCCCAAACUAUUCCCCACGGGCCAAAUCCAUUUUGCAGUCCUUUUACGUGUGGCCCACAUGCUAAAAAUUAUAGUCAUUUUUUAAAUGAUUGGGAAAAAAAAUCAAAAGAAGAAUAGAUCAGGACACAUAAACAUUUUAUCAAAUUCAAAUCUCAGUGUCCAUAAAUAACGUUUUCUUGGCACGCAGGCACGUUCUUCAUUUGUGUAUUAUCUACGGCCCAGUUCUUGCUGCAGCAGCGGAAUCGAGAAGCUGCGGGAGAGACCCCGCAGCCUGCAAAGCUGAAAAUAUUUACUUCCUGGCCAUUCACAGAAAAUGUUUGCCAACCCAUGACCUAAAGCAUCAUCUCUCAGAGGGUUGGGAAGGAACCUGGAAGCUGUCCCAUUCAGAGGCGGGAGCUUCAACGGGACCCUGCGUCUUCUGCCUCCAAGGCCUGUGGUAGGGGCUGUCACAGGCUGCAGAGGAGUCCAGGAGGGAGAUGCUACAGGUAAGGCAGGAGGAUGGAGAAGAGAGAACAGACUUGAACUAGACUUAGGGUCACACCAGCAGCUGUGAGCAGCUGACGAGUGUUCCAGUGCAAGGAGAGGAGGGUGCAAGAGCCAGGGAUUAUACACUGAUUAGCCUCCAUCACCGCAGAAAUUAUCUUGCCUGUGCAUGGUGCGAGGGUCUGGAACAUACAUUUAACCAAGGCAAGGAGCGAAGUGAGAGGAAGCAAUAUUGUGGAUUGCAGGAGGUGAUGGAUGAGAUGAGAGAAGAAUCUGCAUGGUCAGAAUCUGUUUGGCAUCGGAAGGGAAGUACCCAGGAAAUUUGAGGAUCGCCUCGUCCAGUUGUCUGUGGAACUGAACUGUGAGUUGUCCAUGAGGGAUGAAUGGCAAUGCCAAUGUUUCCAGAGUUUCUGUCAUGAGGUCUCCUGGCUUGGAGAUGGAGAGGGCACACACAGGUUUCGGAUUCAAGCCUGCAGGACAGUCCUGGCUGCACCACUCAGGAACCCUGGGUGAGUCUCUUUACCCCUCACAGCCUCAGUUUUCCCUUCCUGGAAAUGGGACCACAAUCCAAACCUUGUAGAACUGCUUCAAAGAUGAAAGGAGACAUCGCAUGUGAGAUGCCGGCCCAUAGGAGCCAGGGCACGAAAGGCAGCUCCGCAUUGGGUCCCCAAAAAGUCUCCGCAGGUUGGCAGCCAAGAGAGCUACCAUUUCUUUGUUUGGAGAGAUUCCACUCCCUGGAAAGGGUAAUCCUGCAGGAAAGGAGGAGGGAGUCGUUCCAGAGUUUGGGAGAUGUCGGCUUUGACUCUGAGUGAUGCCGCCUCAAACACUUACUGUCAUACAGGAAGUUACUCAAACACAAUCAAUUAGACACCCAUAUUAGCAUAUUUGUCAUUGUAAUACAGCCGCAGAGAGGAGAUGCUGGAGACUGUUUAUUGCUGUUCUGAGCUAAUAUUUAUUAAAGUGAUUAAUAUGUUUUUCAAAUAUCUGUGACAGGCGUGGCAGGAAUUACUGAUCUCCUCCCUCGAGAGCCUGAAAGGGUGAGGGGUGGGAGUCACUUAGAGAGGGGCGGCAGGUAGGGGCCUUGGGGCCUCAGGGGACCGUGUCCUCCUCUGGGGCCCCUUUCCUGCUCGGGCCUCCUGCCUUCCAUCUUCCCCUGUCUCCUCCACCUUCAACUUCCCCUGUCUCCUCUCCUCCACCUUCAACUUCCCCCUCUACUGACCGUUCCCAUCGGCAUUCUGAGACAUCUCCCACCAUGACAAAUAGAGACCUCCCAGGAUGCCCUGUCCCCCUGCUCCUUCCUGGACCCCCUCAUCCCCAGCCAUUCUGCCAUCUUCCUCCUUCCCUCCAUAGCCAAACUCUUCAAAAGAACUCUUUUCCCUCCCUACCUCCUUUGCUCAUCUUCCAGUCUCUGCUUUUUAAAAAUCAUUACAAAAAAUUAAAAGUGGCUGGGCGCGGUGGCUCACACCUGUAAUCCCAGUACUUUUGGAGGCCAAGGCGGGAGGGAAUAACCUGAGGUCAGGAGUUCGAGACCAGCCUGGCCAACAUGGUGAAACCCUGUCUCUAUUAAAAAUACAAAAAUUAGCAGGGUGUGGUAGCUGGUG
Molecule: long non-coding RNA, 4191 nt
Filed under: Homo sapiens (human)
Lineage: Eukaryota; Metazoa; Chordata; Mammalia; Primates; Hominidae
Description: HSALNT0276545
Source: RNAcentral